This 460-nucleotide ribosomal RNA is filed under the name uncultured bacterium. RNAcentral's name for it is "partial 16S ribosomal RNA". It matches the Rfam family "Bacterial small subunit ribosomal RNA", at positions 338 to 795 of the family's 1533-position model. The record is from RNAcentral.
CCUACGGGCGGCAGCAGUGAGGAAUAUUGGUCAAUGGACGAAAGCCUGAACCAGCCAAGUCGCGUGCAGGAAGACGGCCCUAUGGGUUGUAAACUUCUUUUGUAUGAGAAUAAAGUGCAGUAUGUGUACUGCUUUGCAUGUACCUUAUGAAUAAGGAUCGGCUAACUCCGUGCCAGCAGCCGCGGUAAUACGGAGGAUCCGAGCGUUAUCCGGAUUUAUUGGGUUUAAAGGGUGCGUAGGCGGGUUGUUAAGUCAGUUGUGAAAGGUUCGGGCUCAACCCGAGAACUGCAUUUGAUACUGGCGAUCUAGAGAAGAGGAGAGGUAGGCGGAAUGUGUGGUGUAGCGGUGAAAUGCUUAGAGAUCACGCAGAACUCCGAUCGCGAAGGCAGCUUACCGGACUAUAACUGACGUUGAGGCACGAAAGCGUGGGUAUCAAACAGGAUUAGAUACCCUUGUAGUC